GAAAGAAGAACAUAUAAGGAUAGCCAAGGAGACUGCCUGAUGUCUUUUUAUAAGCAAAAUGUCAUUCUUGAUAUAACUUGUAGUCACAUCAAACAUGACACCAACCAUUUUGUUCAAAGAAACAGGCAAGUCAUCCUUGGCUACCAAAUGUGGUUCUCUUAUUC
MicroRNA precursor from Arabidopsis lyrata subsp. lyrata, 164 nucleotides. The record is from Rfam. Lineage: Eukaryota; Viridiplantae; Streptophyta; Magnoliopsida; Brassicales; Brassicaceae.